UACCCAGAUGUUCCUACAGGGUCUCAGUGU
RNAcentral lists this non-coding RNA (30 nucleotides) under Mus musculus (house mouse). Lineage: Eukaryota; Metazoa; Chordata; Mammalia; Rodentia; Muridae. The record is from RNAcentral.